Molecule: long non-coding RNA, 1688 nt
Filed under: Homo sapiens (human)
Lineage: Eukaryota; Metazoa; Chordata; Mammalia; Primates; Hominidae
Description: HSALNT0273339
Source: RNAcentral
UGUCUCUCCUGGUUCACGGUCACCCAAACGCCGGCUCGAAGUGUGGGAGAGGAGGUUGGGGGCGACCCCAGGUGGGCACUGCUGGCGUCCGGCUGUCAAUCCACAGCUCACGUCCUCACAGGUGCGCGCCUAGAGUCACGCGUCCAGCACCGCCCGGCUGGCCGGGAAGAGGCGACCGGGUCCGUGGUCCGAGUCCCGCACCUCCGGCCUCUCUCUGGGCCCCGGGGCAACAGCCCCUCCCGGGCCGCACAGGCCGCACUGAGGGCGCCACUCCGGGGCUCCCGAACUCCCGGGCUCCCGGCGGGGACGAGGCGCAGGGACGGGGGCACUUCCGGCUCGCGGGGCCCGGGUCGCCCGCCCGCCCGACCCGCCCACCUGGCUGUCGCUGACGCAGAAGACGCGGCCGCCACGGCUCAGGCACACGCGGGCGCCCGGGGGCUGCGCGGCCGCGCCGCAGAAGGUGAAGGAACAGCGCGAGGCACGCAGCCGCCGCACCGUGGCGCGCACGAGCUCAGCCGGCCGGCGACCCCAGCGCGCCCACAGGACAGUGGCAGCCGGAAAGUGGGUUCCUGCAUGGUAACAAGACCUUAAAAUUGUGUCACUGGAGAAGGACGUGCAGUUCCCGCUGAGGAGAGACUUGGCCACUCCAGGACAACACAGGACUACAAGUCAGGAAUUUGAAGAUGAAAAGUGCUCAACAGUGAUAAAUCCUAAAUGUUUCACUGAACAACCUUUCAGAUAGCCUUCUUGAAGUUUGCUGAAUUAUGGCUAUAAGGACCACUCCCCACCCCUGCUAGGUAUGGAGAGGUCAUCUCCUCUAUCUGAAGGUGACCAACAUCUCCAGUUUUUCCAAAUUCCCUAAGGGUUUUGAGACCACACCUUCCCACAGGUACUCUAACUCCACCUGGCCAAUAGGAAUUUUCUAGGUUUACCCUUAGGUGUUUCGAGAUAUGGUCUCAGAAUACAUCAUGGGAAAAUUACAUUUUGGGGUCAAUCCUGUAUACCAAUUCUAGGUUAAAAGCAUGGGGACCACCAUGGUUCAACAUGAGCUGACCCUUGCAUUGAAGAGUACUGAUACCAUUCAUGCCUGGGGAAGGAAUAGAGGGAGGAAGAUAUGAAGGGCACAGUGAGAAGUGAAACAGUCACAUAACAAGCUCUGUUUAUGAUCCCGCCCUAAAAUGAUUUCAUUUUGCAAAGGUCAAGGAUAGAGUUGAGUUUCAUCACCCCUAUAUAACAAAGGAAUAGGGGAAGGAUGCAAAAAUAAUACACCAAGGGAUAUUAAUGUGUAUGCACCUGAUCCUCAUCCUGUAGUCCCUCACUGCUCAAAGUGUGGUCCUUAGAGCAGCAGCAGCAGCAUCACUUGGAAGCUCGCAAGAAAAGCGGAAUCCUAGGCCCCACCCAACCCCAAAUCAGCGUCUGCAUUUUGACAAAAUCCCAGGAGACUCACAAACACAUUAAAGUUAGAGAAGCACUGCUAACAUCUUCCUCUGUCAUUCCCUGGGUCUGGGCUACUCUAGACUCUAAUAAGACAUUUCCAAAAUGAUGUGGAAAAUAAGACCACAGACUAGGGAUUUUUUUUUUUUUUUUUAGAUGAAGUCUCACUUGCCCAGGUUGGAGUGCAGCGCGAUCUCAGCUCACUGCAACGUCCGCCUCCCAAGUUCAAGUGAUUCUCCUGCCUCAGCCUCCCG